Molecule: ribosomal RNA, 301 nt
Filed under: uncultured bacterium
Lineage: Bacteria
Description: partial 16S ribosomal RNA
Rfam family: Bacterial small subunit ribosomal RNA
Source: RNAcentral
CAGUCGCCGCGGUAAUACGUAGGAUGCGAGCGUUAAUCGGAAUUACUGGGCGUAAGGCGUGCGCAGGCGGUUGUGUAAGACAGGUGUGAAAUCCCCGGGCUUAACCUGGGAACUGCGCUUGUGACUGCGCAGCUAGAGUAUGGCAGAGGGGGGUGGAAUUCCACGUGUAGCAGUGAAAUGCGUAGAGAUGUGGAGGAACACCGAUGGCGAAGGCAGCCCCCUGGGCCAAUACUGACGCUCAUGCACGAAAGCGUGGGGAGCAGACAGGAUUAGAUACCCCGGUAGUCCCUGUCUCUUAUAC